Long non-coding RNA from Zalophus californianus (California sea lion), 1335 nucleotides. RefSeq lists it as uncharacterized. The record is from RefSeq and is a predicted model, not a curated record. NCBI's taxonomy places the organism in Eukaryota, Metazoa, Chordata, Mammalia, Carnivora, Otariidae. The transcript has 4 exons.
UCAAGUCGCAGCCGGCUUGGGCCUGUGUUGCGGGCGUGUUUGUGUGACGCUGAGACUGCGAGGGCUUCCCCACCUGUUUCCAACCGACCCAAGUGUGAAGUGAGGUGUGAACAGGCCUCUGACUGAGCCCGCGUCCACUAACUGCCCUUGAGGGGAGGGACCUGGCCUCCGACAGACGGGGUGGAGGAGCCCCCGACUGACUGAGGCCAUCCUGUCUGAAACUCAGGAAACACAGAGUCCCUGGUUGUGUAAUAAGAGUAUACUUGAAAAGUACCCUGUCCUUAUCUGACAACCCAGAUGAAGAAUCCUGGCCCUGAAGCUGCUUUUCUUAAAACUCUACAUAGCACCAAAGCCUGUGCAGUCCAUUAAUGCCCUUCCUAUGUGGUUUGACCCAUGGAGAAGCAUUUCGCUACAGGAAGUGCAGAUACUUUGGUCAGCCUCUGGGAUGUGGAUGAGUCAGUGUGGUACAAAGCAUUUCUAGGGUGAAAAGAAGGCUGGCUUCGUGGGUGAGCGGAAUGGGCUUUGAAUCCGGCUCCAGCAGUGAUGGUUCAGAGUCCACUUUCCUCAUCCAUAACGUGCGGAUGGCAAAUCCUCCUCUCCUUGGGUUGUUUGGAGAAUCAAAGGACAUGACAUGUUUGUAAAGGGUCCAGCACAGCCCCUGGCGUGCAGGAGAUGCUUAGCACAUCCCUUCUCCUCAAGGAGGAGCAGCUUCUAAGGAGAACACGGGCUGGCCGCGGAGACGUGGCAGUGGUCUGUCAGCUUUCUUGGCUCUAAAUGCCGGAGCUGAGCGAGCCCCGUUCAUCAUGGACUCUGCAAUGAUGGGAAUGAAGAGAGGAGACUUCUCUGUCACACUCGGGCAUGGUGAGGGGUUCAGAGGAGAAAUACUGCAUCUGCUUUCUGUUGCAGUCUGUUCGGGGCCGUGAUGGCUAUGUGUGCACAUGGACGCGUGGAGCCUCAGAGCCGUGCACACCAGCGGGGGAAGUAAGAGUAGGAGGAAGGUAAAGCUCCUGUUAGCAGAGAAGCCUGGGAAAGGAUUGAAGGGAGAGGAGGUGGACUCAGUGCAAGUCUUGAAUACAGAGGGGGUGAUUGUGGCGGGGAGGACUUGUGAGAAGGGGUGCUGCAGCUUGGAACAAAGCAGAGGUGGUGGCCAUGUUCUGGGCUGUGGAGAAGGUGGUCAGGUGGAAUGUGAGGUGGGGUUUAAGUGACACACACAGAAGAUACAGGAAGAGGCCAAUUGCCAAGGAGUACAGGCAGCCUCAAUAAGAUGGAAAAGGCAAGGAAAUAGAUGCCUCACUGGGCUUCCAGGAGGAACACAGACCUGCCAACACCUUGAUU